This 435-nucleotide ribosomal RNA is filed under the name uncultured bacterium. Its description in RNAcentral is "bacterial SSU rRNA". It matches the Rfam family "Bacterial small subunit ribosomal RNA", at positions 29 to 507 of the family's 1533-position model. The record is from RNAcentral.
AGCGAACGCUGGCGGCAGGCUUAACACAUGCAAGUCGAGCGGGCGUAGCAAUACGUCAGCGGCAGACGGGUGAGUAACGCGUGGGAACGUACCUUUUGGUUCGGAACAACACAGGGAAACUUGUGCUAAUACCGGAUAAGCCCUUACGGGGAAAGAUUUAUCGCCGAAAGAUCGGCCCGCGUCUGAUUAGCUAGUUGGUGAGGUAAUGGCUCACCAAGGCGACGAUCAGUAGCUGGUCUGAGAGGAUGAUCAGCCACAUUGGGACUGAGACACGGCCCAAACUCCUACGGGAGGCAGCAGUGGGGAAUAUUGGACAAUGGGCGCAAGCCUGAUCCAGCCAUGCCGCGUGAGUGACGAAGGCCUUAGGGUUGUAAAGCUCUUUUGGCGGGGACGAUAAUGACGGUACCCGCAGAAUAAGCCCCGGCUAACUUCGUG